This 1969-nucleotide ribosomal RNA is filed under the name gut metagenome. RNAcentral describes it as "bacterial LSU rRNA". It matches the Rfam family "Bacterial large subunit ribosomal RNA", at positions 482 to 2468 of the family's 2925-position model. The record is from RNAcentral.
GACCGAUAGUGAACCAGUACCGUGAGGGAAAGGUGAAAAGCACCCCGGGAGGGGAGUGAAAUAGAACCUGAAACCGUGUGCCUACAACAAGUUCGAGCCCGUUAAUGGGUGAGAGCGUGCCUUUUGUAGAAUGAACCGGCGAGUUACGAUAUGAUGCGAGGUUAAGUUGAAGAGACGGAGCCGUAGGGAAACCGAGUCUUAAUAGGGCGCAUUAGUAUCAUGUCGUAGACCCGAAACCAUGUGACCUACCCAUGAGCAGGUUGAAGGUGAGGUAAAACUCACUGGAGGACCGAACCAGGGCACGUUGAAAAGUGCUUGGAUGACUUGUGGGUAGCGGAGAAAUUCCAAACGAACUUGGAGAUAGCUGGUUCUCUCCGAAAUAGCUUUAGGGCUAGCGUCGAUGUUAAGUCUCUUGGAGGUAGAGCACUGUUUGGGUGAGGGGUCCAUCCCGGAUUACCAAUCUCAGAUAAACUCCGAAUGCCAACGAGAUAUAAUCGGCAGUCAGACUGCGAGUGCUAAGAUCCGUAGUCGAAAGGGAAACAGCCCAGACCACCAGCUAAGGUCCCAAAAUAUAUGUUAAGUGGAAAAGGAUGUGGGGUUGCACAGACAACUAGGAUGUUAGCUUAGAAGCAGCUAUUCAUUCAAAGAGUGCGUAAUAGCUCACUAGUCGAGUGACCCUGCGCCGAAAAUGUACCGGGGCUAAAACAUAUUACCGAAGCUGUGGAUACCUUUAUAGGUAUGGUAGGAGAGCGUUCUAUGUGCGAAGAAGGUGUACCGUGAGGAGUGCUGGAGCGCAUAGAAGUGAGAAUGCCGGUAUGAGUAGCGAAAGACAGGUGAGAAUCCUGUCCACCGUAAGACUAAGGUUUCCAGGGGAAGGCUCGUCCGCCCUGGGUUAGUCGGGACCUAAGGAGAGACCGAAAGGUGUAUCCGAUGGACAACAGGUUGAUAUUCCUGUACUAGAGUAUAUAGUGAUGGAGGGACGCAGUAGGCUAACUAAACCAGACGAUUGGAAGUGUCUGGCCAAGCAGUGAGGUGUGAUAUGAGUCAAAUGCUUAUAUCUAUAACAUUGAGCUGUGAUGGGGAGCGAAGUUUAGUAGCGAAGUUAGUGAUGUCACACUGCCGAGAAAAGCUUCUAGCGUUAAUUAUACUCUACCCGUACCGCAAACCGACACAGGUAGUCGAGGCGAGUAGCCUCAGGUGAGCGAGAGAACUCUCGUUAAGGAACUCGGCAAAAUGGCCCCGUAACUUCGGGAGAAGGGGCGCUGACUUAUGGUCAGCCGCAGUGAAUAGGCCCAAGCAACUGUUUAUCAAAAACACAGCUCUCUGCUAAAUCGUAAGAUGAUGUAUAGGGGGUGACGCCUGCCCGGUGCUGGAAGGUUAAGAGGAGUGCUUAGCAAUAGCGAAGGUAUGAAUUGAAGCCCCAGUAAACGGCGGCCGUAACUAUAACGGUCCUAAGGUAGCGAAAUUCCUUGUCGGGUAAGUUCCGACCCGCACGAAAGGCGUAAUGAUUUGGGCACUGUCUCAACGAGAGACUCGGUGAAAUUUUAGUACCUGUGAAGAUGCAGGUUACCCGCGACAGGACGGAAAGACCCCAUGGAGCUUUACUGCAGUUUGAUAUUGAGUAUCUGUACCACAUGUACAGGAUAGGUAGGAGCCUAUGACCUCGGGACGCCAGUUUCGAGUGAGGCGUUGUUGGGAUACUACCCUUGUGUUAUGGCUACUCUAACCCAGAUAGGUUAUCCCUAUCGGAGACAGUGUCUGACGGGCAGUUUGACUGGGGCGGUCGCCUCCUAAAAGGUAACGGAGGCGCCCAAAGGUUCCCUCAGAAUGGUUGGAAAUCAUUCGCAGAGUGUAAAGGUAUAAGGGAGCUUGACUGCGAGAGCUACAACUCGAGCAGGGACGAAAGUCGGGCUUAGUGAUCCGGUGGUUCCGCAUGGAAGGGCCAUCGCUCAACGGAUAAAAGCUACCC